Long non-coding RNA from Ctenopharyngodon idella (grass carp), 1560 nucleotides. RefSeq lists it as uncharacterized. The transcript has 2 exons. The record is from RefSeq and is a predicted model, not a curated record. Lineage: Eukaryota; Metazoa; Chordata; Actinopteri; Cypriniformes; Xenocyprididae.
CACCUCAGACUAAAUCCAGAAACACACUACACAGCUGUCAGGCCGAUUAUAAAUGUAAUUUAGUCGCGACAACUGAUCAUGCCCAAACGGCCCGGGUUUGUUCCAGUUGCGCUUGGUCUGUUUACGGUCUGUGUUUAAAAAAGAUUCUAGUCUUAGGAUUUAAGAACUGCUGUGGAGAUACGUUCCCUGUCAAACAUAAUUCAUUAAAUCAUUAAAGACAUAAUGAAAUAUGUCUACUCAGACGAUAACUGCAAAAAGAAAAUGAGAAAGAGAAACAUAGGACUUUACGAAAAUUAAUUUUUGUAUUCAAGACACAUUACUGUGACAUCAACAUGCAUUAAUCAUUCUUACAAUCACCAUAAGAAUGUCUCACCUUUACCAUGAUCCUAAAAUUUGGGUUCAGUUCAAUUUUCUUCAACAGUUCUCCUCACAAAAUUAAUUUCAAAUAUAAAUUUGAUAACACAGUGGAAAUAUCCAUCAAUGUUCCAAGUAAUGACAACAUUUUUGGUCAACACAACAUAAACAGAUGUUAUAUGCUUUAAUAUAGACUUACCAGGGAUGUGAUUUCCAUAUUUUCUGACCUCGUUGGGAUGACCCGUGUAAAUUGCAUAAAUACAGGGAUUUUGGGGUGCGCGUACGGUCAUCCAACCGGCCAAUUGGAUCCUUGGUGCUUUCUACGUUUUAUGCCAUGCACAUAAUUCAGGUGUUGCUAGAGGGCAAGAAAACCCUCGCUGAGCUUCAUUUCUACUCGAAGGUCUUUCCAUUGCUCAAGCAAUGUUUUGCUGUUUCAAUCUAAAGAUCCAAGGGUUCAUGAGCUCAAGAGAGACUCAUGAGGUGGAUUUUAUCCUGCUUUAUCAAGCCAGAAUACCUGACUGACAGCAAGGGGAAUAAUCUGCCUAGGCCGAAGAUUAAGUUGCUCAACCUGAAGUCACAAGAGUCCUAUCUGUCCAAACCUUUUGUUGGCUUUGAGGCCUCAGCUAUUUUGGACCAAACCGACAGGGACCACCUGUGACCAAGACUUACAGAAUGACUGUAAUCCAGGCCUACAUUAGCUGUGCAGGUGAUCUUCAAGUAAAGCUGCCACUCUCAGGACAUUUUGCUUGGAUCCAGAUGCACGGGGAAAUCAUCAAAUUUUUCCUUGCCUCCAAAAGUUGCCAGACAGCCUCAAUGUAGAGACAUAUGAAUCCUAUCAAGCAGUGAAAUACAACCUGAAGGCCAUACAGGUGUCAGACACUCAGCUCUACUCCAGGAACACCAAGGAGAGUCCAGUUAAUGCAGAAAUGUAAAACUCUCCAACUAGAGGUACAGAGCUCUCCUCAGAGAAAAAGAAAAACGCAACAAACAGCCAUAUCACUCUGUCAAGACAACUGAUGACAAGAAAAAGGCCAAAGAUGCCAUUGUUGCAGCAGCUGGGAGUUUAAGACGAAAUGUGAAUGAAAGCUUUGAAGUUUGCAGCUAAGGCUAAAUAAUAUUUGAUAUACUGUUAGUUAGUAGUGCCUAAUUUGUGUACUUUAAUGAAUAUGUUUAAUGAAAGUUAAUAAAUCGAAAAUUUCUAUAAAA